RNAcentral lists this long non-coding RNA (11191 nucleotides) under Phoenix dactylifera (date palm). Its description in RNAcentral is "long non-coding RNA (PDAC_LNC001133)". Lineage: Eukaryota; Viridiplantae; Streptophyta; Magnoliopsida; Arecales; Arecaceae. The record is from RNAcentral.
GUUCCACGAAUGCUGCUGCCAACCUUUUAUCUCUAUUCUUUUGCUGAUAAAUUUUAUAUAGAAAAUAGAAGACAACAAAUGACUGCAGUUCCAUUCUGUUUGGUCUAGACCUUUAUUUNNNNNNNNNNNNNNNAAAUCUUCAACUUUUAUGAUAAUAAAGAUGCAAACUUAUAAACAACUGAUUGCUCAUUAUUUCUUAGUAAAAUUUGAUGGAAUCAUGGAGUCAUUGGUUCAUCCCUUUAAAUAAUCUAACUGUUCACUCCCUUUUCUUUUACUUACAAAAAUUUACAUACUGCUCGAGCCUCUUCAUUGAGCCAACAAAGUUCUUCGAGGCAAUUUCAGAAAUCAUGAACUGGGAAUCAUUACAUAGAGAUUUGAUCUAACCUGCAUGUACUAUCUGUCCUUUUCUAUGUACAUCAUGUGCAAAUAAGCCCCUUUGGAAUUUUGUUCAGAACUUGUUUGAUGUGGUUGAGAGUUAGAUGGGGUUAGGUCUCUUAAUUUGUUUAGGAGUCCAUUUUGUUUCUUUUUGCUUUAUGUGACUUGUAAGAAAUCAGGACCAUUGAGGGUUGGUAUUUUGGGAUGCUUUUAAGUAACAUAUGGUAUUCUUUAAGAGAGUGUGGGAUCUCAUCUCAUUCUUUAGGAGCUUUCAGUGAGUUGUGACAAUUUUAUAGGAGGAAAGAGCAGUUCAGCUGAGGAAGAGAAAAGAAAUUACAAAUACAAAGAAAGAAGAGAAAAAGAGAGACUGAAGGAGGGAAAGAAAGCAAGAAAAAAAGGAGGAAAGAAAGGGGAUAAGAAUGGGAGGGGAAGGACAAAAAUUACGAGGACAAAAGAGAAUAGGUAGAGUAGGAGGAAAAUAAAGGGAAGAAAGGUGGCCGGUCUCAAUGUAGGAGAUCACUUAAAUGGUUGGUCGUACAAGGCCUUUUAACUUCAAAUUUUUCUUCUUUUAUCUUAAAUGAUGGACCUUACAUCACUUUCAGUAAUCUGCUAUAUAUAAUGCAAAAGUCUCGAUUCCAGUCAUGCAAGGCCUACCUAUAAGGCCUUCCGCAUUAUACAAAUGCCAUUCACUAUCUUAUUAAAAUAAAAAUUCUAUUCCCAGGUCUCAAAUCUCCAUAUAUGCUAUUUGUCAUUAUCUUUCCCUAUUUCCAUCUUUUCCCUUCCUCCUCCCUGAACACGAGAUGUAACCAUGGAAUCGCAGCAAUCCAUCAAAUGCUCUCCCUCUGUGUUCCUCCAUGCAUUCCACUGACCUAAUUAUGGAGUAAUUAGAGAGAUUUAUGGACAUUUUAGGUCCAAUAUCCUUAAGGAACAGGAUUUGUUUGGUUGGCUGUAGAAGUGGAAAUAGGGGAUUUUUUUCUAAUUCUGGUGGUGAUGGGAUAUUUAGGAGUUUCUGGUAAAUCUUCAUCUUUGUUAGUGGAUUAGGUUUCAGGGAUUGAGAAUUGACCCUUAUAUCCUAUCAUGGACUAGAACCAAAACGCUCAUCUGAUACCUUUAUCAUAUCUCAUAUCUGAUUUAACCCAUGACAAGAAGUUAUCAUCUUCAUAAACUCAUUAUAUAUGAAUAUGGACAAGAGACCAAAAACCAAGAAAUAUGCAUUCUUAAUUCACGGUGCAUUUUGCACCUGCUGUGUUACCAUCUAUAUGAUUUAAUCUAAUGCACAUGCAUGCUCAUGCUAAUAUUGUCACUGUCUGUUGCUAUGUAAUAGACUUGCUUGACAAUUAUCUUGGCUUGUGUUCUCUCAAUUUAGCAUUCCUUAUCGGCUCUAGGUCAAUUAAGCUUGUUAUUUCUCCUGUAAUCUUGAGUUAUUUGUUUAAGGACAUGUUUAAAGAAAGUGCAUAUGGCGGAACUGCCACAAUCAAUGGCUCAACCUCUGCAAGUGCAUUGCAUGUGACUUGGGCUAUGUUGUGUGGUUAUUGAUACUACCUUUUAUGUAAUACUUAGGUAUGUGGAGUUGUUAUUUUCUGAACUUUAGAAAGAUAGAAGUCAAUGCUAGAGCUAUGCAUAUUGAGGUUUCAUUUUUUCUUGUAUAUACAAAUUGGUUUAGAACAACUGUUUAUAUUCUUCCUAUGUAAUCAGAACUAUUUUUUAUUUUUAUUAAAUUUAAAUGUAUUAAUAAUCAAGAAAUUUGUAAAAUGCAUGUUAUAGAUUUUGCUAAAUUAUGACAUGAUUACUCCAUUAAAGAAAUAUGCCUUGUAGAAAAAUGAACCCUAGGUCAAAUUUAUUAACAUCUAAACAGUGUCUACAGUGUUUUCUAAACACUUUUUAGUGAUUAUUUUAGAUAGAGGGAGCAAAAGACUAUUGAAAACUAUGAGUUUUUUGAGAUUUGCUAAGCUUUUUUCCUAUUACAGAAUCAUGAUUGUUCAUGUGAUAGUUGCACUAUUGGUAUUUCAGCCAGGUAAAAGUAACAUAUGUUUAUUGUGGGAUUUGCUGACACGCUUUAGCCCAACGAUAUUCAGCAAAUAUUAUAGAUGUUUUUCAUGAACUUCUAAAGAGGAUGCACAGAACAUUACUUUCUAAGAAUAUCCAAUAUGUCUGUAUAAUUUCUUGAUGAACAGGUCUGAUGAAGCGUCUGAACUCAUGCUAGUUGCACUGGGUUCUCAUAGACAGAAUUGCUUCUAAUUUAUAGUUUUAUUAGUGGUGCAUAAAGUAGAUACAAAUACUUGAGCUUAUUCAAUAUUUAUUCUACAAACAGAUCAAUGAGCUAAGAGUUGCUAUCGGACCCUUGUCUGGACGUAGCAUACAGUACUGCACUGAUGCAUGCUUGAGGAGAUACUUGGAAGCUAGGAACUGGGAUGCUGAUAAGUCCAAAAAAAUGUUGGAAGAGACGCUUAAAUGGCGAUCGACUUACAAGCCGGAAGAAAUCCGCUGGGUAAGUUCUACUUUCUGGGACCAUCCUUCGCCAUUAAAUUGUUAGACGAGAAAUUAACGUAUUCACUACAAUUUUUAAUUCUUUCAGGAUGAAAUUGCUAGUGAAGGUGAAACUGGUAAAGUGUACAGAGCAAAUUUCCAUGAUCGAGAAGGAAGAACUGUUCUGGUGAUGAAACCAGCAAAACAGGUAUGCACUGAAUUUUUAUUUUCCUUACUGUUUCAUUCAAGGACCAGGGUUUUGAACAUGUCUCAUCUACAGAACACUGCAUCGCAUGACAAUCAACUCCGGCAUCUGGUAUAUCUCUUAGAGAAUGCGAUUCUCAAUUUGCCUGAGGGUCAAGAGCAAAUGUUGUGGCUGAUAGACUUCACUGGGUGGUCAUUAAGUAAUUCAGUCCCCACAAAGACUGCUCGAGAAACUGCAAACAUUUUGCAAAACCAUUAUCCUGAGAGGCUUACUGCUGCAUUUUUAUACAAUCCCCCAAGAAUCUUUGAAGCUUUUUGGAAGGUUUGAGUUCUUACAUCCUCUAAGCAAUCUAUAAGCAACUAUAGGAAAUUACACUUACAUGCACAUCUUCCUCAUCUAUUGUCUAUUACCUUGAAUACUACUUAGUUAAAAAGAUAAACCUGAAAAUGGAAAAAUGUAUGGAAUUGUUGUUUCAAAUCUCUUAAAUCCCAGGAUCGAUCGAAAUGUUUCAUGGGUAGCUUCAGUGCAUCACUGUCUCUUUUUUCUCUUUUCCUCAUAUACUGAAUAUAUAAAGCACUCACCGUCACUCUCUUUGUUAUAUGAUCUUCCUCUGACAUUGUUCUAUUCUCCCAUGCAGAUUGUCAAAUAUUUCCUGGACCCAAAAACAUUUCAAAAGGUAAAAUUUGUUUACCCAAAGAAGGAAGAAAGCAUGGAACUCUUUCGUAGGUACUUUGAUGUUGAGAUACUCCCUGUCGAGUUCGGAGGAAAGAGCAAAGUACAAUAUGACCAUGAAGAGUUCUCCAAGUUGAUGUUAAAGGAUGACAUCAAAUCAGCAAGCAUUUGGGGUUUGAUUGAAAAACCAGCCCAGGUCGACAAUGCAACCAAUGGGCACUCAACUUCUGAGGUCGCACCAGAACCAUCGGGUAUUGCUGCACAAGCAAGUUGAGCAAAAGCACCACUAGUAAUUCCCCUGCAGUAUAUAGCUACUUAGCACGAUGCGUAUCAUUUCUCAUUACCAUUAACAGCUUGACGGUAUUCUUCGGGUACCCACUUAUACUAUGGAUCUAGUUCUUUAUGUUUCAGUACAAAUUGUGCGAAGAGAUGUUUCUCUUUGCUUGAAAAACUAAUUUACUGCAGACAAACAACAAUUCUAAAGAGUACAUAAUGCAGAGGAACAUCGUUCUGGUGAUUCAGGAAAUUAUUCUCUUCACUUUUGUUUUGCAAUAUAUUAUGAUCAUUCCAAAAUCUAAUAAUGAAUAUCCAUGUUUCAUGAAUUAUGUUUUGGGAUGGCAAUUCUUGACACAACCUGUGUCGAUCUGACUUAAACAGCUUUGGGUUGGCUAUAACUAAACACGCCUGAGAACAAUAGGUCAGUCUGACCUAAUCUUGUAUUAAAUCGGUUGGCUUUAGGUUCAAGGAAUUGAUAUGACAAUCCUAAGACGACCCAUCUAUCAAAUGGGUAUUUUUCACUAAACUAGGGCCCAAAGCCAUAAAGAUUGAGGGCAUUUUAGUAAACUUAACAAGAGAGAGGAAAAACCAGGGCUAUCUUGCAACCAAAUUCCUCCUCUUAUCCAUGCUUCUAUCUACGGCCUCAUCUUCUCUUCCUCGCCUCUAGCCUGCCCCAUCACCCCCAUCCUAGGAAUGCCAUGGAUGAGCUAGAGUGGGUCUUCAAGAAGUUCGGCUUAAACAGGGAUGCUUGUCGUAUAAAUAGGUUAAACAAGGUGGGGUAGGUUACUAUUUAUUAAACAGAUCAGAAUUAGAUUCUAAUUUCUGACCUAUUUAGUAAACUGAAAAGGUUUAUGUUGAGUCUUUUUUUAUCUCAAUCUGUCUGACUUGACUUGUAUCCUUCCAACCCAAUUGAUAUCCUUAAUCAUGAUAAUAGGUGGAUGUUCUUUCUUGUUACCAUGAAACUAGUUUCCUCCGUGAACUGAAUUGCUUGAGUAAACUUCAUUAAUUUUCAACUAUUUAGCUUGCAAUAGGGAAGCUCUAAUAUUCACAUUUGAAUCCACAUUCAGCUAAUUUGCUCGGUACAAAACUUAGUUAUCAGUUCUGAGUGGAGGUUCCUUUAAGCCUAAUCAAGCAGGGGGGCAGCCAAAGUGGGUAUUCUCUUUCAAAAGGAGAUGCUUCUUUUUAUUUUGAUACGUUCGAGAUGAAUGACUUAGCUUGUAUUGGUUACAUAACCUUUCUGAAUUUAGAGCUAAUUUUAAUAUAUGAUUUGGACUCAUUAAUGGAUUUGAAGAGGACAUCCCAAAUCGGGUGCAGAUGCUUGCACAUAACUUCAUUUGGUUGAAGAACAUUAUGUCCAACCUGUGCAAAAGAAAGAACCAUCACCAAACCAUCUCAUGCUCUCAACUCCACUAAACAAAUUUUUUUUUUUUGCAUCGUGGAGCUCCGACAAGCUCUUCACAUUCGUCUCCCCCCUGUGGCUGGCAUUUAGCACUGAGAACAAACCAAGGGAUGUCUAAUAUAUGAUUCUCAAGAGUUAAAAGGCAUGGUUACAAGAAAAAGUACCUCUAUCCUGUUCAAUCACCUCUGCUUGCAAACAUUUAAAAUCCAUAAAAGAAAAACAAUUAAAUUAAUAUUAUACCCCGGGUCUAGUCCGUGGGUUCAGAUGAUUCAUAUGCAAAGGAAAGAGAUACUAGGAAAAAAACAAAUGCUGCCACAGAAUCUCAAAUGCUUUGGAACUUAUCGUUCAACAAAACAGGCUUCAGAAGCAUAAGCACAAGGAAAACUGUGUCAGCAACAAGUAGAAAGUUCCUGCUAUCUAAAAAUUUCACAGCAUGAAAGGUGCCAUUGAAGCAGAAUAAAGUUAGCUGCUUUAUGGAUGAGUGGAGCACGAGAGGAAAAAAAAAAUCCAAUUCUUGUGAUUAAUAUUGGUUGAGGCGGUAGUUUCAGAUCAGGAUCAGAAGAGUCGCCUUUUAAAAUUUCGAGUGGAGGCUUGAUACGCCCGGACCAACAAUCCAACACCAACUCCAAGUCCGAGGCAGAUGCCAAGGCCAAUCCCCACACCCACCCUCACACCAGCAUUGAACCAAGAGAGUUCCCCAUCCUGCCCUUCCAUAUAUUCAGCUCUUGAGUAGAUGCUGUUGUAGUCAACCGCUACAUCAUUUUCUUGUUGGUAGCCAUCAUAUUCAGUUAACUGCCACAGAAGAAGAGAUGGAUGUUAGUAUCUUGCAUGAGUGGUUAAUUAUGAGAGCAAAUGCAAGAAGAUGCAUUUGCUCCAAGUCAUAUUGGAAGAAUUUUCUUUUCUUUUCUUUUCUUUUUUUCAGAAAGAGAAUAAUGGAAGAAAUUAUAAACUAUAUAGGAGAAUUUUUUUAUCCAAGAUGCUAAACAAAUUUUUAUCCAAAUUCUUCAUACUGGAUACUAAAAUAAGCAUUCCAAGAACAAAUUCAAGUAAAGAACAUAAAAAUAAGUAAACGUUCAUUAAAAAAAGUCAUUUUUUAAAUGGAAAGUAAGGACUUGUUAAGCGACGCAGAAUUUCGUUACCAGAGAUGAAGUGUUGUCAGCUGCUGAGACAGCAUAUAUGAACAAGCACACCACUCCAUUAUGUUAAGAUCGACUCUAAUUCCAGAUCAAUGUUCAGACAAAAUUUCAGACAGACCCAUGCAUCUCGGUCCUUGCAGCCUUAUGUAAUGAAAUUCUACCAUUAUGAGCAAACAAAUGGAGAGAAAAGAUGGUUUGGAACAUAGAUAAUUCUGAGUAGGGUGUACAUUGCCAGGUUUGAGGGGAACUGUAUAAUGGCAACUUAAAAGCUACUUCUGACUAUCUUUGGUGCUUUAUUUAACUUAGUGGUUAAACUAGUGGGAUAAAACAUCUUUCUCAAAAGACUAGUGGGUGAAAACGAUAUAUCCACUGUCCACAGCUUGAACACAAUCAGGGGGCAUGCGAAAUUACAUUGUAUGUUCUUCAGCACGUCCACUAGAAACUAAUACGGUAUAUUAGUAAUAGGAACAUUGUGACAUAAAGGCCUUAUGGAUUAAGCAGUUAUAUAAGAUUCAAAUACCAAAGCCAAGGGACAAAGCAAAAACUACAAAAAAUGCUGACAUAUCUUCGCAACGGUCUCUAUACAUGAAAAGGGAACUUGAGAGGUAAUCUUGAGUCUAUCAUCUUAGUUCGUAUUGCUUUACUUGCUUUCAUAUUUUUUGUUUUUUCUUGGUUUUGGGGUGUAAAGGAUCUCCAAGGAUAGAAUUUUCCCUCGAGAGCCGGAUAUAUUUGAGUAUUUCCUCCUCAUCUCUAACGAAUUGUUAUUACUAAUAUAGCUAGUAGGGUCUUGUUCUUUUCCUCCCUCCCUUCCUCCUAGAAUGUUGGAGCUUGGGAUUUCUCCUAGUCCUUAUCCAGUUUCUGGAUAGCAAAGGAACACUAACAGAGGUUUGCCUUCCUUAAGUCUUCUCAUGUAUAUUAAUCUUUGUUCUAAAUCUUGUGUCUUGUUGAAUUCCUAUUGAAGAGACUAUAAUCUGUAGUCAUGCCUGGUCAGUGAUUGGAAAAUAUCAAUGGGAUUCAUGCUUGGACGGUGGCAAUAUCUAAGGUAGAAGGUUUCUGCAAUGAAUGCAAUGACAAGCAAUUAAUGUUUUUUUUUACAAUUCGUCUCUUUUUGAAGUCACAUAACUCCGCAGGGAUGACUGAGGAUAUGGAAUUCAUAUGAAUAUGCUCUCGCCAGAAGAAGGCAGUCCCAGAGGGAAUGCAAUCCUAGAGGAUUUUGCUAUCUAUCUGAAGUCCUCAAAGAUUACAUUCGAGAUAAUUAUUAGUAUUGAAUUAAAAGAAAACGGUGACUUGAUUCUUAAAUACCUAAAAAAUAAUAUCCCCAAGUCAUAUUGCACUUGUAUGGUUUCAUUCACAGCUUUUAUCACUUCAUAGACUUAAGGGCUGAAUGCAUGUGAUGCAAUUGCUGCAUUCUGCAGUAUAUACGGUUUAGGCAGUUGUUCCAGCAUGUUAAAAAACCCAACAGUUCCUUCAGAACAUUAUUAGAAAGUCUAACUAGACCACAUUUCAAUCUCAUGUUAUGAACAAAAUAAUCUAGAAUUAAGAUCAGAAAAGACAUAAAAAGGUGGCCAGGUAACGCAAAUGUCAAAAAAUUGGACUGCAUAGAGCUAAACAUAAAUGUCUAAUGUGUUUUCCUUUUUGUGCCACCUCUUGAAAUAAAUUUGAUGCGGAUACCAAGUUUUUAGCAUAAGCCAUGGUGCUAUGUCAAGAUUAAAAAAGUCAAUGGAAAAACAGGUUAUCUUCAACAGUCCUCUUAAAUACCAUGCUGACCAUAAUUUGUAUAUAUUGACUGAUUGUUUCUCUACUGUUUCAACUAUUCUAUGCACCUUCUAUUUAUCCCUCUCCAGAGCAGACAAACAGGAUAUAUUAUAAGUAAAAAAUCAGAACAUAUAUUGCAUGAACAUUGAUGCCAGGGACUCGUUAAAGUAUGAAUAUAAUGCCCUAUCAUUACUGUAAAAGUUAAAAAUAACAGCACUGUGAAACCUUUCCAGAUGUUGUCACAAUGGAUUGGAAGUUUUUGCCAAAACAUCAUAAUGCUCAGCUCAUUGAUCAGAUACUUCACAACAAAAUUAAAUACAUCAAAAUUAUUACAAUCAUUACAAUUUGGCAAAAUUGAGCAUGGUUUUAUUAUGGACAAAUCAAAUGCAAUUUCAGUCUCUUUAGACCAGAAAAGAACAUGAGUUCCCAUUUGUACAAAAUGCACCUUUUAAAAUAUAUAUUUAUCUGGAAAUUUAUUUAGCAAGAUAACCAAUUUUUUGAAGGAAUUAUACAGAGUCACAUAAAUUAUAGUCUUUAAUCUUGAUUGAUAUUAUUUAAAACUUGUUAUGUUAUCAGACAUAAUCUGCAAUUUAUGUCUUCGAACUUACUUUUGUUUCAAAAGUUUACCAAAAUCUUGUUAAAUACUCCCCUCUUUUUCCAUUGGGAAUUUUACAGAAAUGGCUUAAACUUACUUUCCUUCAUGCUGGACCAUUUUUUUUUCCAAGGGAGCAGUUUAAAACUUUUUAGACACUCUUGACUCUGAGUCACAUGUUUAAGCGGAGUUGAACACAUCUUUUUAAAUAGUGAAUACACAUGAUUGUAUGAAGUCACAUAUUUUUUAAUAUUAAAUUAAUGUAUUUUCUGAGUACAGAAUGCAAAGUUCCCUAUCUAUGGUCCUACUGCUUUAUCUUUUUUCCCUCCUGCUUACCACACUUAUUUGCUACUUCUUUAAAUAACUGUCACAUUUCUUAAAGUUCUCUUGACCCAAACGACAUCUCAAAACCAAUAUUCUAAACAUUUUGAUCUCUCCAUUUUCUUAUUUUUCUCCAAUAUUUGACAAAAGCUGUCUUUUAAAUAAAUACUGAGUGUAUGUGAAAUGAAGGUAGAAAAGAAGUAUGGUAUCACAAAAAAAAAAGAAAAUUUACAAUUAAGUUCCAAUCUAGGGUUUUCUAUCUAACUAUCAUACUGUGACAUAAAAACAUAUAUAAUCAAGUGAAUUUCCGAAGGCCCAAUGUAUUCCUGAAACAAGCUGCGGAAGACCCAGAAUAGUAGAAUACCCCAUGUUCUCAUGGUUUGUAAAUUUCCUCCACAAAAUGAUAUGAGGAAAGCUGAACAAAUUUGAUAAAAACUCGGUGAACUUCUGCUUAAAUAAAUUUGAAACAAAGCAAUAUUUUAGUGCAUAAUGGCUAGAAACUGAACAGGCAUGCCUUGUGCCGUUGGUAACUGGAUCCACAAAUUGCAGUUAGAACAUGUGACUCAGGAGAUUGUGAGAUCAGUGCACUUUCAUCAUGGAUAUCUCCAGGUAAACCUCAAGAUAGCAAAAUUCAGAAUAUAAACAAGUACCUGAAAAGUAUCCUCAGAUGAAACAUUCUUCAUAAAUUCAGCUGUCUCAUGCUCCGGAAUAGAAUCCAGCACAACCUUCAUCUGAUGUUUUUUCCGACAAGCUAGCUGAAGAGUCUUGGUUAGGAUGAUGGGACUACCCGAGAAACAACCAGCAACAUAUACCUCAAUGGUUGGCAAACUCCUCUCUGAACUCAUGGAAGGUUUGCCCUUCAGAAAGCCCAUCACAGGCUGGCAAUUCAUGUUCCAUUUCUUUCUGGUGUUCCUUGAUUCUGCCGUAAAACCAUUACCACCACACAAUUCCAAGACUCCGGCAAGAAGCAGAGCAUCUCCAUUGUAGACCUCAAAUCUGACACUUCCAGUCAUCCUUAUACUAUCUGUGCUCACAAAUGUCACUUCUUCCGAUCUCUUAUCAACCCUGUCCCUCCUAAGCAAAGAAGAAGCGCAGCCGGAAUAAAUGCCACUUCUCUGACCAUUUACUUCGAGGAUGGUGUUGGGAGUCAGGGGGACGUGAUUAAGAGUAAGAUGAUCAGGAGUUGAUUCAUGGACCUCACAAUUGCCCACUCUCACGUAGAAAACCCUCAGAUCAAACCAAGGUGAUGACUUAGGAAGGUGGAGGGAGUGCAAGAUGGUCUUCCGACCAGGAUUAGAUGAAUCGACCUUGGUGAUUGGAUCGUAACAGCUCUCCAUAAUCGGAGAGCGAUCCUCUCAGCAAAAUCUUUUCACAUCAGUGUUGACUAUGAGAAGAGAGAUUUACCAACAAAACGAACUCAUGGAAUUCAAAGUUCCACGUCUGCAAAGCAAACCGAUAGCUAAUCAUUUGCACCAAGCAAUCACAGCAGAAUUGGAACGACAACUAAAAAAUAUUGUAAACUGAAGCAUCACAUAACGUAAAGCCAUUCAUUAGAAAACAAGCCAUCAUCAAUUCAUCAUCAAUAAGACAGACAACACUGUUAAUUUCUUCAAUACAUAACAUGCAUUAAAUAAGCACAAUUCAAAGCAGCAGAAACAAGAUAAAGUUAAUGAAAAAGGAUUGCCUUUAGCAACUCUAUACAGUUUUUUUAAAAAAAAGCAAAAUUGAGCAGAAUACUUCAGAAAAUUGAAACAAAAAACUACGCAACAGAAACUGAUCAAAGAUUAUGUAAAAAGAGGCCUCUUUUCUUCUUUGUUCUUUUCAAAAUGCAAUUGUUAAGUCCAAGGAAUCACCAAAAACUUCUAAUUCUGAUGGGGAGGCAUUCCUCCAACCCGGGUGACACAACUUGGAGGAAGACUUCGUUUUCCGCUAAAGAAGAAACAAACUCCCAGAAGAUCAUAGAAGAAAACAGUAAACAAAAGAAUAAGUACAAC